UGUGUUGCUUACCCGCCGAAAGGAAUUCGAUCGUGCCGUUGACCCUUUCCGCCCGGCGCCCGUCGUGGGCGCGGGGCGGACUCCGGGCACGCUGCGCGUUCCUCGCAUGCCCUCCGCUGUUGCGGGGCUGUUGAGGCCCGCGGAGCUGUCGCCCGUUCUCUCGGACGCGGAACGUGACGCGCGGGCGCGGGGGUCCCGGCCUUCGCUCGCCCGGGCUACGCAUUUGUCCCUCGAUGCGAACGACAGUCGCGGCUGUCUCGACCCCGUCGCGGCCCUGUGUGCCGGGACGGGGCUCGUGCGGUCGUCGGCGUCGUCGAGGAAUGCUACCUGGUUGAUCCUGCCAGUAGUCAU
RNAcentral lists this unclassified non-coding RNA (351 nucleotides) under Melanochyla bracteata. RNAcentral's name for it is "partial external transcribed spacer". The record is from RNAcentral. Lineage: Eukaryota; Viridiplantae; Streptophyta; Magnoliopsida; Sapindales; Anacardiaceae.